UACGAAGGGGGCUAGCGUUGCUCGGAAUCACUGGGCGUAAAGGGUGCGUAGGCGGGUCUUUAAGUCAGGGGUGAAAUCCUGGAGCUCAACUCCAGAACUGCCUUUGAUACUGAGGAUCUUGAGUUCGGGAGAGGUGAGUGGAACUGCGAGUGUAGAGGUGAAAUUCGUAGAUAUUCGCAAGAACACCAGUGGCGAAGGCGGCUCACUGGCCCGAUACUGACGGCUGAGGCACGAAAGCGUGGGGAGCAAACAGG
RNAcentral lists this ribosomal RNA (254 nucleotides) under uncultured bacterium. RNAcentral describes it as "partial 16S ribosomal RNA". It matches the Rfam family "Bacterial small subunit ribosomal RNA", at positions 524 to 776 of the family's 1533-position model. The record is from RNAcentral.